CAUAUCAAUAAGCGGAGGAAAAGAAACCAACUGGGAUUGCCUUAGUAACGGCGAGUGAAGCGGCAAUAGCUCAAAUUUGAAAGCUGGCCCCUUCGGGGUCCGCGUUGUAAUUUGUAGAGGAUGAUUCGGCGAGGGCUCCCGUCUAAGUCCCCUGGAACGGGGCGUCAUAGAGGGUGAGAAUCCCGUAUGUGAUGGGUUGCCUUAGCCAUGUGAAUCUCCUUCGACGAGUCGAGUUGUUUGGGAAUGCAGCUCUAAAUGGGAGGUAAAUUUCUUCUAAAGCUAAAUACCGGCCAGAGACCGAUAGCGCACAAGUAGAGUGAUCGAAAGAUGAAAAGCACUUUGGAAAGAGAGUUAAAAAGUACGUGAAAUUGUUGAAAGGGAAGCGCUUGCAGCCAGACUUGUCCGCAGUUGCUCAGCCGGUCUCCUGACCGGCGUACUCUUCUGCGGCCAGGCCAGCAUCAGUUCGGGCGGUCGGAUAAAGACCUCGGGAAUGUAGCUCCUCUCGGGGAGUGUUAUAGCCCGGGGUGGAAUGCGGCCAGCCUGGACUGAGGAUCUCGCUUCGGCUAGGAUGCUGGCGUAAUGGCUGUAAGCGG
RNAcentral lists this ribosomal RNA (593 nucleotides) under Botryosphaeriaceae sp. JAL-2011c. RNAcentral's name for it is "LSU rRNA". It matches the Rfam family "Eukaryotic large subunit ribosomal RNA", at positions 39 to 647 of the family's 3401-position model. The record is from RNAcentral. Lineage: Eukaryota; Fungi; Ascomycota; Dothideomycetes; Botryosphaeriales; Botryosphaeriaceae.